AAGUCGAACGCUUCUUUCCUCCCAAGUGCUUGCACUCAAUUGGAAAGAGGAGUGGCGGACGGGUGAGUAACACGUGGGUAACCUACCCAUCAGAGGGGGAUAACACUUGGAAACAGGUGCUAAUACCGCAUAACAGUUUAUGCCGCAUGGCAUAAGAGUGAAAGGCGCUUUCGGGUGUCGCUGAUGGAUGGACCCGCGGUGCAUUAGCUAGUUGGUGAGGUAACGGCUCACCAAGGCCACGAUGCAUAGCCGACCUGAGAGGGUGAUCGGCCACACUGGGACUGAGACACGGCCCAGACUCCUACGGGAGGCAGCAGUAGGGAAUCUUCGGCAAUGGACGAAAGUCUGACCGAGCAACGCCGCGUGAGUGAAGAAGGUUUUCGGAUCGUAAAACUCUGUUGUUAGAGAAGAACAAGGACGUUAGUAACUGAACGUCCCCUGACGGUAUCUAACCAGAAAGCCACGGCUAACUACGUGCCAGCAGCCGCGGUAAUACGUAGGUGGCAAGCGUUGUCCGGAUUUAUUGGGCGUAAAGCGAGCGCAGGCGGUUUCUUAAGUCUGAUGUGAAAGCCCCCGGCUCAACCGGGGAGGGUCAUUGGAAACUGGGAGACUUGAGUGCAGAAGAGGAGAGUGGAAUUCCAUGUGUAGCGGUGAAAUGCGUAGAUAUAUGGAGGA
This 675-nucleotide ribosomal RNA is filed under the name uncultured Enterococcus sp. RNAcentral describes it as "bacterial SSU rRNA". It matches the Rfam family "Bacterial small subunit ribosomal RNA", at positions 59 to 705 of the family's 1533-position model. Lineage: Bacteria; Bacillati; Bacillota; Bacilli; Lactobacillales; Enterococcaceae. The record is from RNAcentral.